CCUACGGGCGGCAGCAGUGAGGAAUAUUGGUCAAUGGACGCAAGUCUGAACCAGCAAUGCCGCGUGCAGGAAGACGGCUCUAUGAGUUGUAAACUGCUUUUGUACGAGGGUAAACGCAGAUACGCGUAUCUGUCUGAAAGUAUCGUAAGAAUAAGGAUCGGCUAACUCCGUGCCAGCAGCCGCGGUAAUACGGAGGAUUCAAGCGUUAUCCGGAUUUAUUGGGUUUAAAGGGUGCGUAGGCGGUCGGAUAAGUUAGAGGUGAAAUCCCGAGGCUCAACUUCGGAAUUGCCUCUGAUACUGUUCGACUAGAGAGUAGUUGCGGUAGGCGGAAUGUAUGGUGUAGCGGUGAAAUGCUUAGAUAUCAUACAGAACACCGAUUGCGAAGGCAGCUUACCAAGCUACUUCUGACGUUGAGGCACGAAAGCGUGGGGAGCAAACAGGAUUAGAUACCCUUGUAGUC
RNAcentral lists this ribosomal RNA (460 nucleotides) under uncultured bacterium. RNAcentral's name for it is "partial 16S ribosomal RNA". It matches the Rfam family "Bacterial small subunit ribosomal RNA", at positions 338 to 795 of the family's 1533-position model. The record is from RNAcentral.